UCAGUCGACUCCUACGGGGAGGCAGCAGUGGGGGAAUAUUGGACAAUGGGGGGGAACCCUGAUCCAGCCAUGCCGCGUGUGUGAAGAAGGCCUUAUGGUUGUAAAGCACUUUAAGCGAGGAGGAGGCUACUGAGACUAAUACUCUUGGAUAGUGGACGGUUACUCGCAGAAUAAGCACCGGCUAACUCUGUGCCAGCAGCCGCGGUAAUACAGAGGGUGCGAGCGUUAAUCGGAUUUACUGGGCGUAAAGCGUGCGUAGGCGGCGUUUUUAAGUUCGGAUGUGAAAUACCCCGAGCUUAACUUGGGUAAUUGCAUUCGAUACUGGGAAGCUAGAGUAUGGGAGAGGAUGGUAGAAUUCCAGGUGUAGCGGUGAAAUGCGUAGAGAUCUGGAGGAAUACCGAUGGCGAAGGCAGCCAUCUGGCCUAAUACUGACGCUGAGGUACGAAAGCAUGGGGAGCAAACAGGAUUAGAUACCCUGGUAG
This 482-nucleotide ribosomal RNA is filed under the name uncultured bacterium. RNAcentral's name for it is "bacterial SSU rRNA". It matches the Rfam family "Bacterial small subunit ribosomal RNA", at positions 328 to 793 of the family's 1533-position model. The record is from RNAcentral.